ACCUAGGUAGUUUAAUUAGAAUCUCAAUUUGUGGUGUUGGUGGUGUGUUGGCACUCUGGGUU
Molecule: transfer RNA, 62 nt
Filed under: Coreidae sp. EMHAU-2015-Zz052308
Lineage: Eukaryota; Metazoa; Arthropoda; Insecta; Hemiptera; Coreidae
Description: tRNA-His
Source: RNAcentral